Molecule: microRNA, 22 nt
Filed under: Monodelphis domestica (gray short-tailed opossum)
Lineage: Eukaryota; Metazoa; Chordata; Mammalia; Didelphimorphia; Didelphidae
Description: mdo-miR-7312-5p
Source: miRBase by way of RNAcentral
AAAGAUAUAUUGCAGAGGGUGU